Molecule: transfer RNA, 95 nt
Filed under: Pseudobdellovibrionaceae bacterium
Lineage: Bacteria; Pseudomonadati; Bdellovibrionota; Bdellovibrionia; Bdellovibrionales; Pseudobdellovibrionaceae
Description: Bdellovibrionaceae bacterium (stromatolite metagenome) tRNA-OTHER
Source: RNAcentral
CCACGGAGAAACUCCAGCUUUCCCCUGUGCGGUAGAGUCCCGGCGCGCCGGGAUUAAUCACUUGGUCGUAGGUUCGAUCCCUACCUCCGGAGCCA